GGAUGGUGCCGGAGCAACUUUGGCCAGUGUUCCCUACCCUAAGUCAGGCGAACAUAAAUGCAUCAGUCCAGAUUGUCUAUUGGCAUUUAACUCACCAUUUAAUCUUCGACGGCAUAAUUAUGUUCAUCAUACAAGUUCUGGCAGCAAAGAAUUGGACAUUUUGCAACACAGAACUGAAUUUAGUAAUUGUUGGGAUAGUCUCUCAUCUGAAGAGUCUGGGGAGAUAUUGUCUUUAAAGGAUAUGAAAUUUAAG
Long non-coding RNA from Triticum dicoccoides, 253 nucleotides. RefSeq lists it as uncharacterized. The transcript is spliced from 4 exons. NCBI's taxonomy places the organism in Eukaryota, Viridiplantae, Streptophyta, Magnoliopsida, Poales, Poaceae. The record is from RefSeq and is a predicted model, not a curated record.